Molecule: transfer RNA, 71 nt
Filed under: Arbacia lixula (black urchin)
Lineage: Eukaryota; Metazoa; Echinodermata; Echinoidea; Arbacioida; Arbaciidae
Description: transfer RNA-Thr
Rfam family: tRNA
About the family: Transfer RNA (tRNA) molecules are approximately 80 nucleotides in length. Their secondary structure includes four short double-helical elements and three loops (D, anti-codon, and T loops).
Source: RNAcentral
GCUUCGAAAGUCAAUAGCACAGACGUCUGGUCUUGUAAACAUGAGUGAGGGCUAAAAUCCCUCUCGAAGCU